RNAcentral lists this long non-coding RNA (85 nucleotides) under Chinchilla lanigera (long-tailed chinchilla). RNAcentral describes it as "lncRNA (ENSCLAG00000024852.1)". The record is from RNAcentral. Lineage: Eukaryota; Metazoa; Chordata; Mammalia; Rodentia; Chinchillidae.
CAUAUGCCAUAGGUUGGCCACCACUGCUCUGGGGUACUGUGGUAGAGAUCACUGGAACAUAGAGAACUUGAUCACUCCAAACAAG